This 116-nucleotide non-coding RNA is filed under the name marine sediment metagenome. The record is from RNAcentral. RNAcentral also lists the same sequence under 1 other name.
AGCCGACCCCCCGGAGUCUGCCUGCAGGGACUGGUUUCAUACCCCCGGGGGCGGCAUUGACUGAAGACCGUUGUCGUGAGCGCCGGGGGAGAAGGCGUGCCCAUGUGGCCCGUCAG